UGGGGAAUAUUGCACAAUGGGCGCAAGCCUGAUGCAGCAACGCCGCGUGAACGAUGAAGGUCUUCGGAUCGUAAAGUUCUGUUGCAGGGGAAGAUAAUGACGGUACCCUGUGAGGAAGCCCCGGCUAACUACGUGCCAGCAGCCGCGGUAAUACGUAGGGGGCUAGCGUUAUCCGGAUUUACUGGGCGUAAAGGGUGCGUAGGUGGUCUUUCAAGUCGGUGGUUAAAGGCUACGGCUCAACCGUAGUUAGCCUCCGAAACUGGAAGACUUGAGUGCAGGAGAGGAAAGUGGAAUUACCAGUGUAGCGGUGAAAUGCGUAGAUAUUGGGAGGAACACCAGUAGCGAAGGCGGCUUUCUGGACUGCAACUGACACUGAGGAACGAAAGCGUGGGUAGCAAACAGG
This 403-nucleotide ribosomal RNA is filed under the name Verrucomicrobiota bacterium. Its description in RNAcentral is "Verrucomicrobia bacterium partial 16S ribosomal RNA". It matches the Rfam family "Bacterial small subunit ribosomal RNA", at positions 355 to 776 of the family's 1533-position model. Lineage: Bacteria; Pseudomonadati; Verrucomicrobiota. The record is from RNAcentral.